GGACAUGACGUGUGGCUGUCGUAAAAACCCUAUUUGUAAACAACCAGUCCUUUUAACUCGGGGCUGCGUCAUAAACACGGCGCGCUUGGAAGACCACGAUGUCAUCUUCCUUCUGUCAGGAGGAUCCAAGUGAAGCUACAGGAGUUUCAUUAACGUCAACAACUUGGACCGAACGGUUUGUUUUGCUUGAUGAAGAGCAGGAAGGGCAGCCUGGAGAGAAAGAGAAGCCGGGUUGAGCCCACUACCAUCAUCCACGUACCACGAGGAAGAUGAGGGAGAGAAAUGAUCCUACCAUUAAAGAGACUGUGAAAAGAACGUUGAGAACAUCACCACUCUACAGGAAGACACAGUCCAGUAAUGGGUGUCAGAAUUUCAGUAGUGAACGACAGGAAGGACUGAUGCAUUUACUGAGACGGGACGUGAGGGCCUACUCUGCGUGCUCAGAGUUCAAGCCCAGCAGGCUGCAGCGGGCCUGACCUAUUCCGGAACAGCAGCACAGUCUUUAGAUGACUCCUCUGAAGAUGAAAACAUGGCGAGUUCUUCUCAAGAGAAGCAGUACAGGUGUGCCUCAGCUCCACGGUCCCUCCUGCAGCCUCCGCUCCUGAUGCUAACCUCAUGUCUCCAUCACACCAAGCAGCAGACCUGGAUUGACAGACCUUUCUCCAGAGCUGCCCCCUCCCUCUGAAACCCCCCUCUCCAAAACACUAUUUGUGUAGUUUUUAAAGUAUUUUUUGCAUGAGAAUUGUUGAUCAUAACAUUUCCAGCAGAUGCCUUAAUGUAAUGUUUGUGCACAAUAAAUGACAUUGA
This is a long non-coding RNA of Pleuronectes platessa (European plaice), 807 nucleotides long. RefSeq lists it as uncharacterized. NCBI's taxonomy places the organism in Eukaryota, Metazoa, Chordata, Actinopteri, Pleuronectiformes, Pleuronectidae. The transcript is spliced from 5 exons. The record is from RefSeq and is a predicted model, not a curated record.